Molecule: non-coding RNA, 36 nt
Organism: Schistosoma mansoni
Lineage: Eukaryota; Metazoa; Platyhelminthes; Trematoda; Strigeidida; Schistosomatidae
Source: Rfam
GAUGAGGAGUCCCAUAAUAGGACGAAACGGCCGUCC